This 2878-nucleotide long non-coding RNA is filed under the name Homo sapiens (human). RNAcentral's name for it is "HSALNT0281956". The record is from RNAcentral. Lineage: Eukaryota; Metazoa; Chordata; Mammalia; Primates; Hominidae.
GCGUGGCCUCUUCAGGUUGUGUGUGUGGUGGCCUGGCAUUCAAUCUGUGAGGUGGAUGCGUGUUGGAAGGACCCCUUUUGGUUUCUUUUUGCUCAGAGCUUUCUUUUAAUAAAUUCCGCUCUCCUCACCUUUCAAUGUGUCCGUAUGCCUAAUUUUUCCUGGUCCUGUGACAAGAACCUGAUUUUAGCUGAACUAAGGAGCGAAAGAUCCUGGAUCAUUUUGGUGACCCAUACUGGUACAUGAGGAAAGCUCCUAUUCCAGAUUCUCAGAGUAUAGAUUCUGACUGGAUUACCCUGGUCCUUGAAGUAUACCUAGGAGAUGGAAUAACAUUGUAUAAGCAUCCACGUUGUCAUUAAGAGGAAAGAGUUUCCAUUAAAACAGCAGGUCACAAAACCCUCCUGUGAGAGGAACCCUCUGUGGAAGAACAGAAUAUGUCACCCCAAAAUAUGAAGAAUUGUUGAGCUGAAGAUGAUUAAGAAGAAGCGGAUGCAGGAAAGCUCUCUGCUCUCCCUCUAUUUGCUUAAAAGCAGGAUAAACACUUACAAAGACUAAAGGGGUCCAUUCCAACUAAGAAACUAUGGGGGACCAGGCAUGGUGGCUCACGCCUAUAAUCCCAGCACUUUGGGAGGCCAAGGCCGGCAGAUCACGAGGUCAGGAGAUCGAGACCAUCCUGGCCAACAUGGUGAAACCCCAUCUCUAUUUAAAAAAUACAAAAAAUUAACUGGGUGUGGUGGCAUGCACCUGUAGUCCCAGCUACUUGGGAGUCUGAAGCAGGGGAAUCACUUGAACCCAGAAGGUGAAGGCUGCAGCAAGCCGAGAUCGCACCACUGCACUCCAGCCUGGUUCCCCCUUCACCUCCCUAUAUUCUAAGGAAAGAAUCAUUCUUAUUUGUGAAGACAAAAGGACACAGAGGGAAAUAUGAACUAAAUUUUUGCUGUGUCCUCCACUUUACUACCCUUAGCUCAUACCCCCUUUGUCUUAUAUUUCUUUGUGACUCUCCACUCUUCAUCAAAUACAGUGUUAAAAACACUCAGGUUUAAUCACUUAUUUGGGUCUUCAUUUCCUUAUUAAAGCUCUCACGGCAUGUAAAGCUUAUAUUUUUAAAAUGUGUAUGCUUCUCUUUUGUCUUUUAUAUGCUUUUCUCUGUCUUCUGUUACAGACGCCACAAUCAAGAACUCAGAAGGGUAGAAGAAAAAGAUAGUUUCCCUUCCCUACACAGGUGUUGAUCCCUUCAUAAAUAUUAUGCAUGCUAAGCCCUAUCUCAAGGUCUACAUCCAGGAGAACCCAACCUGCAACAUUAAGUUACUGACUGUGCAAGAACCCUUUGAUCACGUACCUUACAGACCAAGAUAAGUGAGGAUGCCCAUGUAUAACCUGCUGUCUUUCUGGUCUCUUAUGUUUUUGUACCAGAAAGGGACAACUUUUUGGGUAACCAUAGGUCUCUAGUAUAUCUGUGAUUACAAUAAAGAUUUUUGAUAUACCAAAACUGAUGAACCAAAAUUCCACUGAAAUAGCGAGUAAAUGGAGUUCUUUUAUCCUUUGCAGUAUACCAGGGUGAACUUUUUACAUGAUUUCUUGCUCCAAAGGGAGAAGUGUUAUGACAAAGUACAUUUAAGGACCCUAACUGAUCACAGAAAAAAUAUUAAUGGCAUUGGGAAAAAAAUGCAGACUAAUGAAUCCACUACUAAAUUUUAUCUAUCUUGUAGCUCUAAAAUUGCACUGUUUAGAAUACACUAUGGUAGCCACUAGACAUAUGGCUACUUGAACUUGAAUUGGUUAAAAUCAAAAUUAAGAAUUUAAUUUCUCACUCACAUUAGCCACAUUUCAAGUGCUCAACAGACACAUGUGGCUAGUGUCUACCAUAUUGGACAGCAUAGAUUUAAAGCACAUUUCCAUCAUUGCAACACUGCAAUAUGGAGGAUGUAUCCUCAAUACAUUGAUAUUGCCCCCUCAAAAUUCAUAACCCCUAGAUAUCUUAUCUCUGUAUGUGAGGAUAGUGUAUUAACUUGCACCUGGACUGAGAUAGAUAAAUGCUUAUCUCCAGAGAUGUCUGAAAGUCUGGUACUGACCCUUGUCUAAGAUAAGGAUGGAAUGUGCUGGUUAAUGAUUUAUACUGUGCUAUACAAAGUCCAAAAUUCCUUUGGAGGUAUCCUCUGCUGGCUUGUCUACAUUGUUUAAGGAUGGAUAGGUUGAUGGUUUGCACCUGCUUUAAUCAUUUACACAUUCUGAUUUUAUUUGUGAUCAGUGGAGGAUAAAACCUUCAAUAAACUUGUGUCUUAGCUUCCUUGAUAUUAAGAUAUCUUGCACAUAUCUUAGAUUUUUAUAAUCUGAAUGCAAAGCACAUCCUUUGCAAUUGAGAAAGGACUCUGUGAGCUGCUCCUGGAUAUGUGAAACCCCUCAGUGACUGACCGUAUUUUCUUUCUUCUGCUGUACUUGCCCUUAUUAAAGCCUUACAUGUGAAGUAAGUCCUUUCAAUUGUCUGACUCCGGGUGAUUGUUAUACCCUUUGAUAUAGUUUGGAUAUUUGUGCCUUCCAAAUCUCAUGUUGAAAUGCGAUCCCCUAUGUUGGAGGUGGAGCCUAGUAGGAGGUGUUAGGGUCACGGGAAUGGAUCCCUGAUGAAUGGCUUGGUACACAGUAAUGAGUGAGUUUGUGCUUUAUUAGUUACUGUGAGAUUUACUUGGUAAAAAGAGCCUGGCAACUCCUCCCUCUCCCUUGCUCCCUCUCUUGCCAUGUGACAUGCUUGCUCCAGCUGCACCUUUUGCCACAAUUGUAAGCUUUGUGAGUCCCUCAACAGAAGCUGAGCAAAUGCUGGCACCAUGCUUCUUGUACAGCCUACAGAACUGUGAACCAAAUAAAACUUUUAUUUUUAUAAAUUAUC